Molecule: ribosomal RNA, 497 nt
Filed under: uncultured bacterium
Lineage: Bacteria
Description: partial 16S ribosomal RNA
Rfam family: Bacterial small subunit ribosomal RNA
Source: RNAcentral
GAUGAACGCUGGCGGCGUGCCUAAUACAUGCGAGUCGAGCGAACAGACGAGGAGCUUGCUCCUCUGACGUUAGCGGCGGACGGGUGAGUAACACGUGGAUAACCUACCUAUAAGACUGGGAUAACUUCGGGAAACCGGAGUUAAUACCGGAUAAUAUAUUGAACCGCAUGGUUCAAUAGUGAAAGACGGUUUUGCUGUCACUUAUAGAUGGAUCCGCGCCGCAUUAGUUAGUUGGUAAGGUAACGGCUUACCAAGGCAACGAUGCGUAGCCGACCUGAGAGGGUGAUCGGCCACACUGGAACUGAGACACGGUCCAGACUCCUACGGGAGGCAGCAGUAGGGAAUCUUCCGCAAUGGGCGAAAGCCUGACGGAGCAACGCCGCGUGAGUGAUGAAGGUCUUCGGAUCGUAAAACUCUGUUAUUAGGGAAGAACAAAUGUGUAAGUAACUAUGCACGUCUUGACGGUACCUAAUCAGAAAGCCACGGCUAACUGCGUG